GAUUAAGAACGUAGCGAAAUGCGAUAAGUAGUGUGAAUUGCAGAAUUCAGUGAAUCAUCGAAUCUUUGAACGCACAUUGCGCCCCUUGGUAUUCCAUGGGGCAUGCCUGUUCGAGCGUCAUUUGUACCUUCAAGCUUUGCUUGGUGUUGGGUGUUUGUCUCGCCUUUGCGUGUAGACUCGCCUUAAAAUAAUUGGCAGCCGGCGUAUUGAUUUCGGAGCGCAGUACAUCUCGCGCUUUGCACUCAUAACGACAGCGUCCAAAAGUACAUUUUACACUCUUGACCUCGGAUCAGGUAGGGAUACCCGCUGAACUUAAGCAUAUCAAUAAGCGGAGGA
This 336-nucleotide unclassified non-coding RNA is filed under the name soil metagenome. RNAcentral describes it as "partial contains 5.8S ribosomal RNA, internal transcribed spacer 2, and large subunit ribosomal RNA". The stretch from base 1 to 120 matches the Rfam family "5.8S ribosomal RNA", at positions 35 to 154 of the family's 154-position model. The record is from RNAcentral.